AUCUUUAAUCCUCACUUUGCCCUUUUGUCUCCGUACUCUACAGAGAACGGCGCUCGCUCGCUCGCUCGCCAUCAGGCCCUAAACGACGCCAGGGUUACCACCACAGUCGGCCCCUCUCGCAGGGGCGUCUCGUGAUCGGAUGUGCAUUAGAAGCUAUUGAUAGAAUACCGUCUUCGCUACUAGAUAUCGGCGAUAUUUGCAGUACCAAUGGGAACAGAACAUGUAACAACAGAUGUUAGUGGUGCAACUGAUGGAAUACCUCCAGUUCCACCUGGUUUUUCAUCUGCUCGCGUUUCUAAAGCUAUUGAUGGAAUACCUCCAGUUCCACCUGGUUUUUCAUCUGCACGUGUUUCUAAAGCUAUUGAUGGAAUUCCUCCAGUUCCACCUGGUUUUUCAUCUGUGCAUGUUUCUAAAGCUAUUGAUCGAAUGCCUCCAGUUCCACCUGGUUUUUCGUCUGCGCAUGUUUCUAAAGCUAUUGAUGGAAUACCUCCAGUUCCACCUGGUUUUUCAUCUCUUACAUCAUUUACCUUAAAGAGGGUGCAAGAUGGUGUGAAGGCUUCUGCAAAUGCUUCUUGCAGAGUACAUUGCAUGAUAUCAGAUGAGAAAUCUAGAAAGAAUCUUCGAUACAGACCCUGGGUAAACUACAGUGAAUUUGAUAAUGGCUCAGGCAAAGAGUGUGACUAUGAGGCUUUUGAGCAGGAUAUUCCUUCAACCCCUUGCCUACCAAAAGGGGUUAUUCGAGGAUGUACUGAAUGUAAAACAUGUCAGAAGGUCAUAGCAAGAUGGCAUCCACAAGAUGCGUGCAAGCCUACCCUUGAUGAAGCUCCUGUAUUCUAUCCAAGUGAAGAGGAAUUUAGAGAUACCCUGGAAUAUAUUUCAAGUGUUUGCCAAAGAGCCGAAAAGUAUGGAAUUUGUCGAAUUGUUCCACCCUCUUCUUGGAGACCACAUUGCCUUCUCAAAGAGAAGAAUGUGUGGGAAAAUUUAAAAUUUACAACUCGUGUUCAGCCAGUGGACAAACUUCAAAAUCGUGAUUCUUUGAAGAAGAUCAAUGGAAACCAUAACAUUAUGAGGACAAAAAAACAAAAACAUCAGGAAUUGAGGGAUAAUAGUGAUGAGAAUAUUACAAAAGUUAAUCGACAAAGGUACCAUAACAGUUCGGAGAGGUUUGGAUUUGAAACUGGUCCGGAUUUCACUCUGGAAACAUUUCAAAAAUAUGCAGAUGACUUCAAGGAGCAGUACUUUCACACAAAUGCAGACUUUGAUGUAAUAUCUGGUCAACAGGAACCAUCAGUAGAGAAUAUUGAAGGUGAAUAUUGGCGGAUAGUAGAGAAGUCAACUGAGGAGAUUGAGGUACUCUACGGUGCUGAUUUGGACACAGGCGUUUUUGGCAGUGGUUUUCCCAAAGCAUCAUUCUCUUUACAAAAUUCUGAAAUUGAUGAUCAACAUAUAAAUUCUGGUUGGAACCUAAACAACCUAGCUCGGCUUCCAGGCUCUAUGCUAUGUUUUGAAAGUGGAGAGAUUCCUGGUGUUCUAGUGCCAUGGUUGUAUAUAGGAAUGUGUUUUUCCUCAUUUUGUUGGCAUGUUGAAGAUCACCACUUAUACUCAUUGAAUUACUUGCACUGGGGUUCUCCCAAAAUUUGGUAUGGGGUCCCAGGAAAAUAUGCGUCAAAGUUAGAAGAUACUAUGAAAAAGCAUCUACCAGACCAAUUCGAAGAACAACCAGACUUGCUUCACAAUCUUGUAACCCAAUUUUCACCCUCACUGUUAAGAUUAGAAGGUGUACCUGUUUACCGGUGUGUUCAGAGGCCAGGAGAGUUUGUUCUCACUUUCCCUCGGGCUUAUCACGCUGGUUUUAAUUGUGGAUUCAAUUGUGCAGAAGCUGUAAAUGUGGCUCCUCUUGAUUGGUUACCUCAUGGGCAGAAUGCUGUGGAACUUUAUCGUGAACAGGGACGAAAAAUAUCAAUAUCCCAUGACAAGUUGUUGCUAGGAGCUGCAAGGGAAGCUGUUAGAGCCCACUGGAAUUUACUGUUCUUCAGGAAAAACCCCUCAGUUAAUGCAAGAUGGAAAAAGUUUUGCUCAUCAGAUGGCAUCCUUGCAAAGACACUUAAGGCACGCAUUGAGAUGGAAUGCAUGAGAAGAAAAUACCUUUGCUCAUCUCGGUCACAGAAAAUGGAUACUGAUUUUGAUUCUAAUAAUGAAAGAGAAUGUGUUCUGUGCCACUAUGAUUUGCAUCUUUCUGCUGCUAGUUGUCUGUGUUCACCAGAUAGGUUUGCUUGCCUGAUUCAUGCAAAAAAUUUAUGCUCGUGUGCUUGGAACACGCGGAUAUUUUUAUUCCGUUAUGAUACCAGAGAAUUGAAUGUCCUAUUGGAUGCUUUGGGAGGGAAGCCGAGUGCAGUUCAUAGAUGGGGCAGUUUUGAUCUUGGGCUAAGCUUGAGUUCAUACAUCUCAAGAGAGAAAACACAUGAACCAAAUCUUAUAGGUAUGACUGACAAAGAAGGAAGAGAGCAAAAGGAUAUUGAACCUGUUACAAAGGAGCCUAGCCUUGGGAUGGACAAAAAUUUUGAUUUGGGAAAUCCAAAUAUGACCUCAUCAUCCUUUUUGGAUCAGCAACUUUUAUCGGAAGGUCCCCAGAACACCACUUUGCUGCAAAACAAUUCUAAAUCAAUGGGUGAGGUAAAGAAAUUCAGCUCCUCACUUUCUAAGAUAUCUGGGAUAGAACUGAUUGAAUCUUCUGCUGAGAAGGUUGCUAUCUUAUUAAAUGGUAAUGAACAUAAAGGUACAAAUGGAGUGGUAUCGGAUAAAAUGACUGCAGAGUCCCCAGAAAAGAACACUGACAUGUUUUCAAGGCAGACAGAUUGUGAUGAUAAGACAACUUCCCAUGCUCACAAGGAUAAAAUUCUUUUAGUGCCCCAGACUAAUGUGUUGUUGGCAAACGAAAAAGAUCUGUUGGCUGGCCCGGAAGUUUCUCGUAAUAAGUUAAAGGUGAUACUGGUUGAUGAUGAUGAGCAGGUAGAGGAAAACUGCAGAGAGGUUCUCUCCAAUUUACAUGGUCAACAGUUGUUUGAAUUCCUUCCUGGAAAGGAAAGUGAAUGCGUGAGAUCUUCUGCCAGAGUAACUUUUGCAAAACAAAGUGCAGAUAUGUUGCCUGAAAAUGAAGCAUCUGAUUGUGGUACUGAACCUAUUCAUCUUCAAAUUAUCCAGAAUUAUGGAAGAGGAGAACCAGAAGAUAAAAGAAAGAAGGUACAAUCUGAGUUCAACUCUGAGGUUAACCUUGAUAGAAGCAAUUCAUCUACUGAAAUCCAACCUUGUACACAAAGAAAUCUUGAUAUAUGUAACUAUGAGAAGAUGGGCCCUCAAAUGGAAAAGGUGGUGAAAAUAAGUAAUUGCAAUAUUGAGGUUUUGGUGUAUGGUAUUGUGCUUUCUGGAAAAUUAUGGUCCACGUGCCACCGCAUAUUCCCAAAAGGAUAUAGAAGUCGAGUUAAAUACAUUAGCAUUUUAGAUCCAACGCAGAUGUGUUACUAUAUAUCUGAAAUUUUGGAUGCUGGAUUACUUGGGCCUCUAUUUAUGGUUGUGGUUGAGCAAUGUCCAAGUGAAGUGUUUCUCCAUGUUUCUGCCACCAAAUGCUGGGAUAUGGUGAGAGAGAGGGUGAACCAGGAAAUUCAAAAGCAACAAAAGAUGGCAACGCUUAAUCUCCCUUCCUUGCAGCCUCCAGGAUCAGUUGAUGGUCUUGAAAUGUUUGGUUUAUUAUCACCAGCAGUUAUACAGAUGCAGUUAACUAUUUAUACUCUGACAACUCAUGCUGGCCAAGUGUCGCUUGAUGUUUCACCACAUCAAGGUGCAAUGUUGUCGAAGUUGUUAAAGGCAAGGUUAGCACAACCGAGGGGAUUUAGGUGGUUAUAAUCGGCUGGAGGUUAACAAGAUUGAUGUCAGGCUUGAGGUCAAUGUUUAGGGGUGAUGGUCACCCGUUCAUUGUUGUGGUCGCAAUAAUUGAAGACAUGGCAAAGGCAUACAAUUUUGAGGGUCUUAAUGUGGACUCAGACAAGUAGUGAUUGCUGACUGAGGGUCAGCAUCUGCAUUUAUAUGCUAUGGUGGGUGAAACAACUUCUGGUAGAAAGGGAGGUAUUGUUAGGGGCGAGAUUGGCUUUUGGAACAGAACAAUGAACAAAAAAGGAAACCAUCAAGCUGCAGAGGAAAAAGAAAAGGCAAUCGAGGAGCUUGAUUGCAAUCAUGUCUGCACAGAGUACUGGACGGCCACGCCGAAUGCAUCGAACCAAUCUGAUAUAGCUAUCAUGGCAACAGAUCACAGGCCUAGUGUUCGUCCUACCGAGCAACACACUCCACCGCAGCCUGCCGCCUCAAAAUUGGCUGUGAGGUGUCUCUUCAAGAAAGCCAACCCGGAGGAGCUGCAUGCUUUGCGAAGUCUAUUACCAGAUAAUGAUCUUGCAAACGCCUCUCUUCAAGAACUUGUCCAACUUAUAAAUGAUGAAAUUGCAUGUCGUCUCUCCCGACGGAAGCAUCCAAAAUACUGAACAUGUUUGAAUUCUUCCCGUCUGUCUGUCCCGACCUCAAAUCACAUUUGUGUUUCUGUCUCGGAAAUCCAAGAUUAUUGUAUAUAUAUUACAUCGAAUUCAUUUUUGUUAGCUGUCUUUCUA
Molecule: RNA transcript, 4652 nt
Organism: Musa acuminata subsp. malaccensis (wild Malaysian banana)
Lineage: Eukaryota; Viridiplantae; Streptophyta; Magnoliopsida; Zingiberales; Musaceae
Gene name: putative lysine-specific demethylase JMJ16
Source: RefSeq, a predicted model, not a curated record